Acanthosepion pharaonis is the source of this 111-nucleotide non-coding RNA. NCBI's taxonomy places the organism in Eukaryota, Metazoa, Mollusca, Cephalopoda, Sepiida, Sepiidae. The record is from the annotation of a GenBank genome assembly.
UGGCCACAUUGCAUUGAAACACCAGUUCCUGCAUGAUCACUGAAGUUAAGCAAUGUCAAGCCUGGUAACUACAUUGAUGGGUGGCCACUUGGAAAUACCAGGUACUGUAAU